UACGGAGGGCGCAAGCGUUGUUCGGAAUUACUGGGCGUAAAGCGCGUGUAGGCGGCUGAGCAAGUCGGUUGUGGAAGCCCAGGGCCCAACCCUGGAAUUGCGUCCGAAACUGCUUGGCUAGAGUCCUGGAGAGGAAGGCAGAAUUCCCAGUGUAGGGGUGAAAUCCGUAGAUACUGGGAGGAAUACCCGUAGCGAAGGCGGCCUUCUGGACAGUGACUGACGCUCAGACGCGAAAGCGUGGGGAGCAAACAGG
RNAcentral lists this ribosomal RNA (253 nucleotides) under uncultured bacterium. Its description in RNAcentral is "partial 16S ribosomal RNA". It matches the Rfam family "Bacterial small subunit ribosomal RNA", at positions 524 to 776 of the family's 1533-position model. The record is from RNAcentral.